RNAcentral lists this transfer RNA (63 nucleotides) under Taenia sp. MZH:127052. RNAcentral describes it as "tRNA-Trp". Lineage: Eukaryota; Metazoa; Platyhelminthes; Cestoda; Cyclophyllidea; Taeniidae. The record is from RNAcentral.
AUGAGAUUAAGUUAAUUAGACUAAAUGUUUUCAAAACAUUAAGUGAUUUUUGGUCAUCUCAUG